RNAcentral lists this ribosomal RNA (482 nucleotides) under uncultured bacterium. Its description in RNAcentral is "partial 16S ribosomal RNA". It matches the Rfam family "Bacterial small subunit ribosomal RNA", at positions 30 to 507 of the family's 1533-position model. The record is from RNAcentral.
AUUGAACGCUGGCGGCAUGCUUUACACAUGCAAGUCGAACGGUAACAGGCCGCAAGGUGCUGACGAGUGGCGAACGGGUGAGUAAUGCAUCGGAACGUGCCCAGUCGUGGGGGUUAACUACUCGAAAGAGUAGCUAAUACCGCAUACGACCUAUGGCUGAAAGCGGGGGACCGUAAGGCCUCGCGCGAUUGGAGCGGCCGAUGUCAGAUUAGGUAGUUGGUGGGGUAAAGGCUCACCAAGCCAACGAUCUGUAGCUGGUCUGAGAGGACGACCAGCCACACUGGGACUGAGACACGGCCCAGACUCCUACGGGAGGCAGCAGUGGGGAAUUUUGGACAAUGGGCGCAAGCCUGAUCCAGCAAUGCCGCGUGCAGGAAGAAGGCCUUCGGGUUGUAAACUGCUUUUGUACGGAACGAAACGGCUCUGGUUAAUACCCGGGGCUAAUGACGGUACCGUAAGAAUAAGCACCGGCUAACUACGUG